AGACAGUCAGUCAUUAGAGGAACAGAAUGAAGCUCAGUCCAUUAUCUGUGAUGCUUUUGCUAAUUUCACUUCCACUUGAAACACUUGCUGAAGGGAGUCCUAAGCCUUUGGUGUCCAUAAAACCAGAUAAAAAUGUGUUCACUUGUGAGAGAGUUAUUCUCAGAUGUGACAUACAGGGAGCAGAUGAUGUUAAGUGGACAUACAGCUGGUAUAAGAAUGGCAUUCUCUAUGCAAGUAAAGAUAAAAUCAACACAAUGCAGGAGGUCAGUAUCAGCUGUGUUAUAACAACUGACAGUGGUACCUAUACCUGUAGAGGACAUGGGAGAGACUCACAGAACUCCGCGAUCAGUGAUGCUGUUACACUGACUGUAUCAGAGACUCCGCUGCCAGUACUGAGUGUAUCUCCUCAGAGCUGGCUGACUGAAGGAGACUCAGUGACUCUAAGCUGUGAGGUUACAGACUCCUCCACAAACUGGACAUUCAGCUGGUACAGAGAUGUUCCCCAAAGACACAAGGAUGGCCAUAUUACCUACAGAGCGGUUCGUCUUCCAAACAACAGUAGACGAUCUGGAGGCAAAUACACUCUCAGUCCUGCUGCUCUUAAACACACAGGAGUUUAUUUGUGCAGAGGAGAAAGAAGAGAACCAGCCUUUCACACAUUUUACAGCAAUCUACAGCCACUAUUUAUCACUGGUGAAUCUCCUUCAGUCUCAAUGAUCAUCAAUCCCAACAGAACUCAACAUUUAACUACUAAUGACUUUCUUACACUGAGAUGUGAGGACCAGAGUAACUCUUCUGAAUGGAUAGUGAGACAAUACACACACAAAUGGGGACUGUCAGUUUGUUCGGAUUAUGGAUCAGUUACAGGAUCUACAUGUAACAUCAGCUCCCUCUCUACAUUCUACACUGGAGUUUACUGGUGUGAGUCUGAAUCUGAAGAAAACAGCAAUCCUGUCAACAUCACAGUCCAUGGCCUAUCGCGUGUAGAAGAUCAAUUUUCAGUGCUCAUGCUGAUCUGUAGUGUGGUGACGGCCUUUCCAUAUCUGCUGGUAACCAUCAUUCUGCUGGUCAUAUGUUACAGAGCUCGAGGGACCCAAGAGUGAUCCUCCUACAGAGGAGCAGCAUCAGUCUGAAGACAUGGAACAUGGGUUUGAUCUUCAUGGACUGGGGAGCUGUAGGUAGUAAGCUACAAGAUUAAUCCAGUAUCUUGAAGGGCCUGAUGUAACGUGGUGCCAACUUCUUGAACUCCACGUCGAAGGGCAGGUCUUUGGUUGCCAGCCAGACCCUUUGACCUUGGUGGAACGUGGGUGCUGCAUGUCUCUUACAGGCGCUCCUCUGAGCAGGGCCAUCUUUGGGCCAUCUUUGCUCUCUGCCAGGCCCUGUGGCACCUGGGCACCAUUUGUUUUGCAACCUGGACCCGUAACUCCCUCUCCUGUUUGGAAAACAUGGAAAACACGCCAGAAUCUGCGCCUCAGGAACUCCAAGGUUCAAGUCAAGUCAAGAAGCUUUUAUUGUCAUUUCAACCAUAUAUAGCUGUUGCAGUACACAGUGAAAUGAGUCCAGGACCAUGGUGCUACAUAAAUCAAAGACAGAGCAAAGGAUUUAACUCGCCCUGAUGAAAACAGAAUUGAGAGUGCAGUCAUAGAAGAAUGAGCAAAUUCCACGUAUGAAAAGAGGGAUUAUUUUCAGGAUUCAAUAAUAAUGCUGAUUUAUUGCUUGAUUGGUAUGUAGUUUAUAGUGCAGUAUCUUACAGUCAGCUUUGUUGUAAUAUUUUGAUGCAGUGUGUGAGAAUUGAGACUCUCAAAACAUUGUAUGUACCAUUACUGGUGUUCAUCACUGAGUAGCUUUAAGUUGUGUUUUUUGUAUUUUGUUUGGCUUUUCUUUUCAGCUGUAUGAACUUUAAUUGUAGGUGUGUAAAGAGAUGUUUUUUUUUAAUAAAUAUAAAUGCAUC
This is an RNA transcript of Tachysurus vachellii, 1951 nucleotides long. RefSeq lists it as uncharacterized. The transcript has 8 exons. The record is from RefSeq and is a predicted model, not a curated record. NCBI's taxonomy places the organism in Eukaryota, Metazoa, Chordata, Actinopteri, Siluriformes, Bagridae.